GAUGAACGCUGGCGGCGUGCCUAAUACAUGCAAGUCGAGCGAACAGACGAGGAGCUUGCUCCUCUGACGUUAGCGGCGGACGGGUGAGUAACACGUGGAUAACCUACCUAUAAGACUGGGAUAACUUCGGGAAACCGGAGCUAAUACCGGAUAAUAUAUUGAACCGCAUGGUUCAAUAGUGAAAGACGGUUUUGCUGUCACUUAUAGAUGGAUCCGCGCCGCAUUAGCUAGUUGGUAGGGUAACGGCUUACCACGGCGACGAUGCGUAGCCGACCUGGGAGGUGGAUCGGCCACACGGGAGCUGAGACAGGGUCCAGAGUCCUACGGGAGGCAGCAGUAGGGAAUCGUCCGCAGUGGGCGGAAGCUUGACGGAGCAACGCCGCGUGAGUGAUGAAGGUCUUCGGAUCGUAAAACUCUGUUAUUAGGUAAGAACAAAUGUGGAAGUAACUAUGCACGUCUUGACGGUACCUAAUCAGAAAGCCACGGCUAACUACGUG
RNAcentral lists this ribosomal RNA (497 nucleotides) under uncultured bacterium. RNAcentral's name for it is "partial 16S ribosomal RNA". It matches the Rfam family "Bacterial small subunit ribosomal RNA", at positions 28 to 507 of the family's 1533-position model. The record is from RNAcentral.